This 336-nucleotide ribosomal RNA is filed under the name Triticum aestivum (bread wheat). RNAcentral's name for it is "partial small subunit ribosomal RNA". The record is from RNAcentral. Lineage: Eukaryota; Viridiplantae; Streptophyta; Magnoliopsida; Poales; Poaceae.
AUGGGCUGCUAUGACGCCACCAAGGGCAAGCCUGAGGGCGAUCUUAAUCCAGCACAGCUGGAAGCUUUUGAGAAGAUCGAUUUGUAUAUGUCAUUUGACAACAGCAAGGACAUGUGGGCUACGCUCGAGGCCAAGUUUGGUGCCUCGGACGCCGGCGGCGAGUUGUACGUCAUGGAGCAAUUCUAUGACUACAAAAUGACUGAUGAGCGCCCUGUUGUACAGCAGGCUAAUGAGAUACAGUCGCUCGCAAAAGAACUUGAUUACUUCAAGUGUGUGUUGCCGGAGGCAUCAUUGCCAAGCUUCCACCUUCAUGGAACAAUUUUGCUACUUCCCUGA